GACGAACGCUGGCGGCGUGCCUAACACAUGCAAGUCGAACGGAAAGGUCCUGCUUUUGUUGGUUUCUCGUUUGGCGAGCGCGGGAGUAACACAUGAGUAACCUCCCCUUAACUUUGGGAUAAAUUCAGGAGACUCGGGCUAAUAUCCGAGAGGAGCUCCUGAACCGUGUGGGUCGUUGGAAAGAGUCGGCUGUUGUGGAUGUACUCGCGGCUUAUCAGCUUGAUUGUGGGGUAGUUGCGUACGAGGGGUUUGAGGGGUAGCCGGCCUAGGAGGGUGACCGGGCACAUGGGGACUGCGAUACGGAGCAGAAUGGUAUGGGAGGCAGCAGUGGGGAAUCUUGCACAAUGGGGGGAAGCGUGAGGUAGCAACGUUGCGUGCGGGAUGCUGUGUUACGGGUUGUAAACCGAUUUGGACUGUGAUGAAGACUGAGUGACGGUAAUGGGUCAAGAAGCACCGGCUAACUACGUG
This 468-nucleotide ribosomal RNA is filed under the name uncultured bacterium. RNAcentral's name for it is "partial 16S ribosomal RNA". It matches the Rfam family "Bacterial small subunit ribosomal RNA", at positions 28 to 507 of the family's 1533-position model. The record is from RNAcentral.